GAUGAACGCUGACAGAAUGCUUAACACAUGCAAGUCGAUGGGGAAGUGGUGCUUGCACCAUGGCAACCAUGGCGGACGGGUGAGUAACGCGUAAGGGACUUACCUGCAGGACUGGGAUAACAGGGGGAAACUCCUGACAAGACCGGAUAAUGUCAUGGAGCUGCAUGGCUUUAUGAUGAAAGGAGACGCCUGCGGAGAGCCUUGCGUCCUAUUAGCUAGUUGGUGAGGUAAUGGCUCACCAAGGCGAAGAUAGGUAGCCGGCCUGAGAGGGUGGACGGCCACAAGGGGACUGAGAUACGGCCCUUACUCCUACGGGAGGCAGCAGUGGGGAAUAGUGGACAAUGGGGGCAACCCUGAUCCAGCAAUUCUGUGUGCACGAAGAAGGUUUUCGGAUUGUAAAGGGCUUUCAGCAGGGAAGAAGUAAGUGACGGUACCUGCAGAAGAAGCGACGGCUAAAUACGUG
RNAcentral lists this ribosomal RNA (463 nucleotides) under uncultured bacterium. RNAcentral's name for it is "partial 16S ribosomal RNA". It matches the Rfam family "Bacterial small subunit ribosomal RNA", at positions 28 to 507 of the family's 1533-position model. The record is from RNAcentral.